Molecule: ribosomal RNA, 482 nt
Filed under: uncultured bacterium
Lineage: Bacteria
Description: partial 16S ribosomal RNA
Rfam family: Bacterial small subunit ribosomal RNA
Source: RNAcentral
AUUGAACGCUGGCGGCAUGCCUUACACAUGCAAGUCGAACGGUAACAGGUCUUCGGAUGCUGACGAGUGGCGAACGGGUGAGUAAUACAUCGGAACGUGCCCGAUCGUGGGGGAUAACGAGGCGAAAGCUUUGCUAAUACCGCAUACGAUCUACGGAUGAAAGCGGGGGAUCUUCGGACCUCGCGCGGACGGAGCGGCCGAUGGCAGAUUAGGUAGUUGGUGGGAUAAAAGCUUACCAAGCCGACGAUCUGUAGCUGGUCUGAGAGGAUGAUCAGCCACACUGGGACUGAGACACGGCCCAGACUCCUACGGGAGGCAGCAGUGGGGAAUUUUGGACAAUGGGCGAAAGCCUGAUCCAGCCAUGCCGCGUGCAGGAUGAAGGCCUUUGGGUUGUAAACUGCUUUUGUACUGAACGAAAAGCCUCUUUCUAAUAAAGAGGGGUCAUGACGGUACCGUAAGAAUAAGCACCGGCUAACUACGUG